UGCCAGCCGCCGCGGUAAUACAGAGGGUGCGAGCGUUAAUCGGAAUUACUGGGCGUAAAGCGCGUGUAGGUGGAUAAGUAAGUUGGAUGUGAAAGCCCCGGGCUUAACCUGGGAUGGUCAUUCAAAACUGCUUGACUAGAGUACAGUAGAGGGAAGUGGAAUUUCAGGUGUAGCGGUGAAAUGCGUAGAUAUCUGAAGGAACACCAGUGGCGAAGGCGGCUACCUGGACUAAUACUGACACUGAGGUGCGAAAGCGUGGGUAGCAAACAGGAUUAGAUA
RNAcentral lists this ribosomal RNA (279 nucleotides) under uncultured bacterium. Its description in RNAcentral is "partial 16S ribosomal RNA". It matches the Rfam family "Bacterial small subunit ribosomal RNA", at positions 506 to 784 of the family's 1533-position model. The record is from RNAcentral.